This 839-nucleotide ribosomal RNA is filed under the name uncultured bacterium. RNAcentral's name for it is "partial 16S ribosomal RNA". It matches the Rfam family "Bacterial small subunit ribosomal RNA", at positions 67 to 907 of the family's 1533-position model. The record is from RNAcentral.
CGAAGCACCUUGAUUUGAUUCUUCGGAUGAAGAUCCUGGUGACUGAGUGGCGGACGGGUGAGUAMCGCGUGGGUAACCUGCCUCAUACAGGGGGAUAACAGUUAGAARUGACUGCUAAUACCGCAUAAGACCACAGCACCGCAUGGUGCAGGGGUAAAAACUCSGGUGGUAUGAGAUGGACCSGCGUCUGAUUASGUAGUUGGUGGGGUAACGGCCUACCAAGCSGAMGAUCARYASCCSACCUGAGAGGGUGACUGGCCACAUUGGGACUGAGACACGGCCCAAACUCCUACGGGAGGCAGCAGUGGGGAAUAUUGCACAAUGGGGGAAACCCUGAUGCAGCGACGCCGCGUGAGCGAUGAAGUAUUUCGGUAUGUAAAGCUCUAUCAGCAGGGAAGAAAAUGACGGUACCUGACUAASAAGCACCGGCUAAAUACGUGCCAGCAGCCGCGGUAAUACGUAUGGUGCAAGCGUUAUCCGGAUUUACUGGGUGUAAAGGGAGCGUAGACGGAGUGGCRAGUCUGAUGUGAAAACCCGGGGCUCAACCCCGGGACUGCAUUGGAAACUGUCAAUCUGGAGUACCGGAGAGGUAAGCGGAAUUCCUAGUGUAGCGRUGAAAUGCGUAKAUAUUAGGAGGAACACCAGUGRCGAAGGCGGCUUACUGGACRGUAACUGACGUUGAGGCKCGAAAGCGUGSGGAGCAAACAGGAUUAGAUACCCUGGUAGUCCACGCCGUAACGAUGACUACUAUGUGUCGGGCAGCAAAGCUGUUCGGUGCCGCAGCAAACGCAAUAAGUASUCCACCUGGGGAGUACGUUCGCAAGAAUGAAACUCAAAGR